CCGCCAGAGAACUACAAGUGAAAAACUUAAAACUCAAAGGACUUGACGGUGUCCCAUACCGACCUAGAGGAGCCUGUCCUAUAAUCGAUACUCCCCGCUCCACCCAACCCCGACUAGCAUACCCUCAGCCUAUAUACCGCCGUCGAUCAGCCUACCCUAUGAAAGUCCAACAGUAGACACAAUAGCCCCAUCGCUAAUACGUCAGGUCAAGGUGUAGCAUAUGUUGUGGAAGAGAUUGGCUACAUUUUUUAUAAUAAAAAUACGAAAAAUACUAUGAAACAGUAUAUGAAGGUGAAUUUAGUAGUAAAAU
RNAcentral lists this ribosomal RNA (310 nucleotides) under Darevskia chlorogaster. Its description in RNAcentral is "partial 12S ribosomal RNA". It matches the Rfam family "Bacterial small subunit ribosomal RNA", at positions 869 to 1344 of the family's 1533-position model. The record is from RNAcentral. Lineage: Eukaryota; Metazoa; Chordata; Lepidosauria; Squamata; Lacertidae.